Molecule: transfer RNA, 71 nt
Filed under: Bos indicus (zebu cattle)
Lineage: Eukaryota; Metazoa; Chordata; Mammalia; Artiodactyla; Bovidae
Also listed under: 1 other name
Rfam family: tRNA
About the family: Transfer RNA (tRNA) molecules are approximately 80 nucleotides in length. Their secondary structure includes four short double-helical elements and three loops (D, anti-codon, and T loops).
Source: Rfam by way of RNAcentral
UCCUGGUGGCUCAGAUAGUAAAGUAUCUGUCUGCAAUACAGAAGACCCGGGUUUGAUCCCUGGGUCAGGAA